UCCCAUUAGGUCCAGUGGCUAAGACUCUGCACUCCCAAUGCAGGGGGCCCAGGUUCAAUCCCUGGUCAGGGAA
Molecule: transfer RNA, 73 nt
Filed under: Ovis aries (sheep)
Lineage: Eukaryota; Metazoa; Chordata; Mammalia; Artiodactyla; Bovidae
Rfam family: tRNA
About the family: Transfer RNA (tRNA) molecules are approximately 80 nucleotides in length.
Source: Rfam by way of RNAcentral